GAUGAACGCUGGCGGCGUGCCUAAUACAUGCAAGUCGAGCGAACAGACGAGGCGCUUGCUCCUCUGACGUUAGCGGCGGACGGGUGAGUAACACGUGUAUAACCUACCUAUAAGACUGAGAUAACUUCGGGAAACCGGAUCUAAUACCGGAUAAUAUAUUGAACCGCAUGGUUCAAUAGUGAAAGACGGUUUUGCUGUCACUUAUAGAUGGAUCCGCGCCGCUUUAGCUAGUUGGUAAGGUAACGGCUUACCAAGGCAACGAUGCGUAGCCGACCUGAGAGGGUGAUCGGCCACACUGGAACUGAGACACGGUCCAGACUCCUACGGGAGGCAGCAGUAGGGAAUCUUCCGCAGUGGGCGAAAGCCUGACGGAGCAACGCCGCGUGAGUGAUGAAGGUCUUCGGAUCGUAAAACUCUGUUAUUAGGGAAGAACAAAUGUGUAAGUAAAUAUGCACGUCUUGACGGUACCUAAUCAGAAAGCCACGGCUAACUACGUG
RNAcentral lists this ribosomal RNA (497 nucleotides) under uncultured bacterium. RNAcentral's name for it is "partial 16S ribosomal RNA". It matches the Rfam family "Bacterial small subunit ribosomal RNA", at positions 28 to 507 of the family's 1533-position model. The record is from RNAcentral.